GGGGUGUCUAGUCUUGGCCAUAGUACUGUGAUGCUCCAGGUACUGUGGAGGGGGUGUCUAGUCUUGGCCAUAGUACUGUGAUGCUCCAGGUACUGUGGAGGGGGUGUCUAGUCUUGGCCAUAGUACUGUGAUGCUCCAGGUACUGUGGAGGGGGUGUCUAGUCGUGGCCAUAGCACUGUAAUGCUCCAGGUACUGUGGAGGGGGUGUCUAGUCUUGGCCAUAGCACUGUGAUGCUCCAGGUACUGUGGAGGGGGUGUCUAGUCUUGGCCAUAGUACUGUGAUGCUCCAGGUACUGUGGAGUGGGUGUCUAGUCUUGGCCAUAGCACUGUAAUGCUCCAGGUACUGUGGAGGGGGUGUCUAGUCUUGGCCAUAGUACUGUGAUGCUCCAGGUACUGUGGAGGGGGGUCUAGUCUUGGCCAUAGUACUGUGAUGCUCCAGGUACUGUGGAGGGGGUGUCUAGUCUUGGCCAUAGCACUGUAAU
This is a long non-coding RNA of Oncorhynchus keta (chum salmon), 481 nucleotides long. RefSeq lists it as uncharacterized. The transcript is spliced from 5 exons. The record is from RefSeq and is a predicted model, not a curated record. NCBI's taxonomy places the organism in Eukaryota, Metazoa, Chordata, Actinopteri, Salmoniformes, Salmonidae.